UAAAGCCAUUUUUCUUUUGUAACCUCGACCAGGCAGGUCUGCUCUGGAUGCUGAUCAACAAUUUAGCUUCACUUGGAUGACUUGGGACAACCCUGACUCUUUCAAGGCUGAGUGGAAAAAUGUUCCCAGCAUGUCGAAGGAAGACCUUGCAGAUUUGUCUCCAGUUCUUAUGGCUGGUGCAUCCCACUGUGCAUUUGAUUCCCACGUUUAAAUUCUGAGCAGAUAGCAGUCAGCCUUCACCAGAAUACUUUUUUGCAACCCCAUCAGCAUAUCAGAGAGCAAUAUUAAUGCUUUAAAGUGCAAGUCCCAGAUACCCCACCUCUGCCAGGAGCAAGCAGCAGAGCUAAAGCAUCCAGUGGCAAAAGCCCACGUGUGCUGCGGUGAGUUGGUGGCAUCACUGCAAAAUGCCUGGUUGGACACGAGGAGCUGCACACAAGCAAACAGCCAUGAGCCAGGAAGGAAUACCAUCUUGGAGGGCCCCGUCCUUCACUUCUUCACUGGAAGUUUCUUAAAGGUUGGGGCAUCAUGUCAGUUCACUGCAGCUGCCCUUUCUUCUGCACUCCCAGGUUAGAAACGGUGACUUCUCUCCAGCACCCAAACCAUGCCCUCUCCUAAGACGCAGAGAAGUCUGAAACACCCAUGGAAAAGCUGCUCAGUGUUUGGCACAUACAGAAGGUCACACUCGAUGAGGUAAGAUGUUAUUUUCAAGCUUAUAGUCAAGUAUUGCAAAUAAUUACAAAAUAGAGCUCUAUAUUUAUGUAGCUGAAAGUUAUUUUAACUUGCAUUGAUCAAUGCUUGCUUCCAAUAUAAUGCAUGAAAAAGUCUAUCAAGGAUAAUGCUUAUUCACUGUGAAUCUUGGUUAGAAAUAGAUCCUCAGGUGAUACAUCCAUGAUGAGCCAUUUUAAAGAGGGUAUUAUAUGUCUCUCAAAGCCUUUUGGGAGGGAGGAGGGAAAAGGUACUUUGAGACAAUAGGAAGCUGAUUCAAUAGCGGCACAUGAGAAAGGCAGUCUCAUGGUGCAGCCUUUGCAAAACAAGCUGAGCACCACAGAGCUUUUAUGUAAUGCAAAUGAUUUAGAUGAAAUGAGAGGAAGAACUGAGAGAAACUAAGGACAGGCCCAGCAAAGGCUAAUUAAAAUGAGGUGGAUGCAAAUCUUUGCAGGAGUUUGGAAGGACUGAAGUGUUCCAUCCCUGCUGCUGUUUGCAGAGAUGUUUGCUUUCAGAUUGGCAGCAGGGACAGGUAGCUGGAGUGGUAAUCUCCUAAAGAAAUGAAU
This is a long non-coding RNA of Pezoporus occidentalis (night parrot), 1271 nucleotides long. RefSeq lists it as uncharacterized. The transcript has 3 exons. The record is from RefSeq and is a predicted model, not a curated record. NCBI's taxonomy places the organism in Eukaryota, Metazoa, Chordata, Aves, Psittaciformes, Psittacidae.